UGAACGCGAAGAACCUUACCAAAUCUUGACAUCCUUUGACAACUCUAGAGAUAGAGUCUUCCCCUUCGGGGGACAAAGUGACAGGUGGUGCAUGGUUGUCGUCAGCUCGUGUCGUGAGAUGUUGGGUUAAGUCCCGCAACGAGCGCAACCCUUAAGCUUAGUUGCCAGCAUUAAGUUGGGCACUCUAAGUUGACUGCCGGUGACAAACCGGAGGAAGGUGGGGAUGACGUCAAAUCAUCAUGCCCCUUAUGAUUUGGGCUACACACGUGCUACAAUGGACAAUACAAAGGGCAGCUAAACCGCGAGGUCAUGCAAAUCCCAUAAAGUUGUUCUCAGUUCGGAUUGUAGUCUGCAACUCGACUACAUGAAGCUGGAAUCGCUAGUAAUCGUAGAUCAGCAUGCU
This 403-nucleotide ribosomal RNA is filed under the name uncultured Staphylococcus sp. RNAcentral's name for it is "bacterial SSU rRNA". It matches the Rfam family "Bacterial small subunit ribosomal RNA", at positions 956 to 1358 of the family's 1533-position model. The record is from RNAcentral. Lineage: Bacteria; Bacillati; Bacillota; Bacilli; Caryophanales; Staphylococcaceae.